This 403-nucleotide ribosomal RNA is filed under the name uncultured prokaryote. RNAcentral describes it as "bacterial SSU rRNA". It matches the Rfam family "Bacterial small subunit ribosomal RNA", at positions 355 to 774 of the family's 1533-position model. The record is from RNAcentral.
UAGGGAAUAUUGGACAAUGGGCGAAAGCCUGAUCCAGCAACGCCGCGUGCGCGAUGACGGCCUUCGGGUUGUAAAGCGCUUUUAGAGGAGAUGAGAAAGGACAGUAUCCUCUGAAUAAGCCUCGGCGAACUACGUGCCAGCAGCCGCGGUAAAACGUAGGAGGCUAGCGUUAUCCGGAUUUAUUGGGCGUAAAGCGCGUGCAGGCGGUCUGACAAGUUGGAUGUGAAAGCUCCUGGCUUAACUGGGAGAGGUCGUUCAAAACUGUUAGACUAGAGAAUGGGAGAGGGAGGUGGAAUUCCGGGUGUAGUGGUGAAAUGCGUAGAUAUCCGGAGGAAUACCAAAGGCGAAGGCAGUCUUCUAAGCCGAUAUUGACGCUAAACUGCGAAGGUGUGGGUAUCAAACG